Molecule: ribosomal RNA, 220 nt
Filed under: uncultured bacterium
Lineage: Bacteria
Description: partial 16S ribosomal RNA
Rfam family: Bacterial small subunit ribosomal RNA
Source: RNAcentral
GCAAGUCGAGCGCUACCUUCGGGUGGAGCGGCGGACGGGUUAGUAACGCGUGGGAACGUACCCUUCUCUACGGAAUAGCCUUUGGAAACGAAGAGUAAUACCGUAUACGCCCUUUGGGGGAAAGAUUUAUCGGAGAAGGAUUAGCCCGCGUUAGAUUAGGUAGUUGGUGGGGUAAUGGCCUACCAAGUCUACGAUCUAUAGCUGGUUUUAGAGGAUGAUC